GCCACCAGGAGAGAAUGGGGCAUCUUGUGAGUCUUCUUGCUAGCACACCUGUCACUUUAAGGUCAGCAGUAGACUUGAUGAGCUCUAAUUGGUAUUUAACCCAGAAUUCCCAUUGCUUCUCCACUCCGUUGGGCAGGAGCUGGGUCCAACACAUCUUUCAUUGGCAGAGAGACGAGUGCGUGCCUAACAAGAAACCAGGGACAGUCCAGGCAACAGAGCCAAAGACACAAGUGGGAGUCAGGCCUUUCCAUAGGACAAAGCCUUCUCGCUGGCGGAUGUUAUAAAAACACACCUGUCACUCGCGGCCAUGAUGACCAAUCAAAGCUCCACCUCUCACCUGGUAAGGUCUCCAGAAGGUGAGCAAGAAUUGAAGGAGAGCAGAUUGGAGAUCCCUUGAGAGUGAUGCCAACAGCAACAUUUGCUUGAAGUGAACAGACAAGGACAGAGGAUCAGGUUUCUUUUUCAGGACUCAGGUAAGAGGCGGAGCUCACAAGAGGGGUGACAGCCACAGCAGCCGGGUCUGGAUCAGCUGCCCCCCAGCCAGGUAAGACCAAAGGCUGCGGAUGGCACCUCCCCCCACAGGGCCAGGCAGCUCCCUCGGCGAGGGGCACAGGGCUGCCAUUGUUCCCCUCCACAGAGACCUGCCUGGAGCAAGGAAGCGGGGCCCCUCGCGGAGGCUCAGCGGGGAGUUCCCAUUCCGGGAGGCAGCCCUGGCGGCCAGACCUGAGGUAUGUAGUUACUGGCCAGUUUCCUGAGCCGCAGAGGGCAAGACCAGUUUUAUGAAGUCACCAUGGGCUAUUUUUAGACACCCAUACUCCCUGGGGAACCUGUAAUUUCCCAGCCUGGCCUGGGCCACGGGGAUCUCCACGGAGGAGCCCAGGCCUUGAAGGCAGAGAAGAGAAGAGUUUCCAGCAGCAGCUCGACACAUUCCUUUGCUAAGAGUAAGGUCUUGCUCCUGCAAACUUGUGCUCAGUCCGUGGCGUAUUGUGGAGCUGAGCCGGGGUCUCGUAGAAGAGACUAGAAUGGAGCCAUGCUUGCUCCGAUCGAUUUCGAGUUCCCCAGGGUGUGUGAUACUGCAGCACAUGUGGGGAGAGGUAGGCUCAGACGCAGAGCACCUGCUCACCUCGGGUGUCCUCCACUAAACCCCAUCAGCAAGGGGUUAGGACUCCUUUAUUAGUUGGGGCCCUGAAACUCCGAAGUGUUUUCUCAAGGUUACACAACUGGGAAGGCUAAAAUACGGAUUAUAGGGUUUCUGAGCCAGUUGAUCUCUGCAGUAGACCCGUGGUUCUCAGCCAGCGGUGAGUAUCAGAAUGACUACAGAGCCUUUUCCAGACCUCCCCCAGCCUCCUGCACCGGACUCAGAACCAGAGAAGGGGGACGGUGCCUCAGGCAUGCACGUAUUUCACAAACGCUACUCCGAAGGAUGCCAGCUGCCAGUACGGCUGUAAUGCACUUCGCAGAGCCUGCCUCUGCCUGCAACCCUGCAUGGAGCUUUCCAGCAGCAUUUGCUCACUUGCUGUCUCGGUCACAUUCUGGUAAUCCUAGCAAUAUUUUAAACUUUUUCAUUAUUAUAUUUUUAUUGUGAUGUUUGAUCAGUGAUUAAAACUCACUGAAAGCUCAGAUGAUGGCUAGUAUAUUUUAGCAAUAAAGUAUUUUUAAAAUAAGAUGUGUAUGGUUUUUUUUCCGGACACAGUGCUAUUGCACAAAUAGACUAUAGGCUAGGGUAGACACAACUUUUAUACACACUGGGAAACCAGCACAUUCAUUCGACU
Molecule: long non-coding RNA, 1772 nt
Organism: Lutra lutra (Eurasian river otter)
Lineage: Eukaryota; Metazoa; Chordata; Mammalia; Carnivora; Mustelidae
Exons: 4
Source: RefSeq, a predicted model, not a curated record